This 253-nucleotide ribosomal RNA is filed under the name uncultured bacterium. Its description in RNAcentral is "partial 16S ribosomal RNA". It matches the Rfam family "Bacterial small subunit ribosomal RNA", at positions 524 to 776 of the family's 1533-position model. The record is from RNAcentral.
UACGGAGGAUGCAAGCGUUAUCCGGAAUGAUUGGGCGUAAAGCGUCCGCAGGUGGCAAUGUAAGUCUGCUGUUAAAGAGUCUAGCUCAACUAGAUAAAAGCAGUGGAAACUACAUAGCUAGAGUACGUUCGGGGCAGAGGGAAUUCCUGGUGUAGCGGUGAAAUGCGUAGAUAUCGAGAGGAACACCUGCGGCGAAGGCGGGUAGCUGGGCCGACACUGACGCUGAGGCGCGAAAGCCAGGGGAGCGAACGGG